Long non-coding RNA from Sapajus apella (tufted capuchin), 2266 nucleotides. RefSeq lists it as uncharacterized. The transcript has 2 exons. NCBI's taxonomy places the organism in Eukaryota, Metazoa, Chordata, Mammalia, Primates, Cebidae. The record is from RefSeq and is a predicted model, not a curated record.
GGAUUGCUGGAGGUUCACUCCACACCCUGCUUGCAUGGGGAUCACCUGUGGCAGCCUCUGCAUUCUUGCUGGGAACUGCACUCCAGAGCUGUUCCUAUUCGGCCUUCUUGGCUCUUUUAGAUCUUUAACAGAUCAAUGUCAUUUUUUAGGCAAUGUGGUUUUUUUUUUUUCAAAAACUAUCUUUAAUUUUUAGAGAUGCAGACCAAAGUGUUUUGGAAAGAGAUGCCAUUAUGUCUGUAGUUAAUUUUCCUUAAGCAAAAAAUUUUUUAAACUGAAGCAAAUUGAGCAAAAAUGCUAAUUUAAAAAAUCUAGGUGAUGGGUAAUAGGGAUUUUUAUUAUAUGAUUAUUUUUAAUUUUCUGUUUAAAUAUUUGCAUUUAAAGCAAGCCAAAGUAAAAUAUAGCAAUAGAAGAAGAAAAUUUUUCUUUAAUGGAUGAAGUUUGUUGUGAAAAAUGUGCAGGGUUGUGGAGGGGACAGUGAGACUUUUCCUAAUAUGUAGUUAUUCAAUGUUGAGAAAUACCCAAAUAUCCUUAACAUCCAGUACAAUCUUGGCUCACAGUAGAUACUCAGUAUUUAUGUAUUAAAUUGAUAAGACGCCCUGGCACUCCUGGUCUGGACUAAGAUCGCUUCCUCUGUGCUUUCUAGUUUAAGCUUGUUAUAAUUAAAGUGUUACAGAAGCUUUGAGGCAGCAGAGGGAGUCCUUCAUGGUUUGGUGCUUUAGUCAGUAGUAUAAACGUUGCCUGAGGCAUUAUUUGACGAUAAUGAUGACAACAGCAAUAAGCGUAGCUAUCACAUUUCAGUGCUGAGUGCCAGGCACUGCAGAGAACAUUAAAAGCAUGAUCUUGUUUCAUCCGUACCAAUUGCCCUAUCAAGUAGGAGUUGAUGGUAUUCUCAUUUUACAGCAUAAAAAGUAUUGUAAGCUUUCAAGUUCUGUCACUAGGAGGUGGUAGAGUCACAGUUGGAGCAGGUGGUAGAGUCUUAGUUGGAGCCCAAGGCCUCAAUGACUGGUAUACCGAAUCCCCAAAGAGAGAUGGUAUAUUGGGUUGGUCAGGCAGAACACUGCUCAAGUUUUGGCUGCUCUAGGAAUCUCAAGCAGGAGAAUCACAGUUCUGCUCCAGUGUGCUUCACUGAUCCCGUAGAGGUUACAGAGACAGUGACAUGACAUAGAUGGGUUAAGACCCAAAAUGCAAAUAGCGCUAAUACAUAAGUGCCAGGAGAGAGAUAUCUAUAGGUAAGUGCAAUGAGGAUUUAAACAGUUAAAGGUCAUGUGAGGGUGGAAAGGUAGAGGUGGAGUUUGAUUGGGGCUUUGGAGGAAAAAGAAUUUCAGAAGUCAGAAAUUCAUCUAAGAGUCUUCAAAUUCUGCCUGUCCUUACCAAAUAAGUAGUUAAGUUUGAUUGAGCAUGCGUCUGAAGAGGAAGAAUGAGAGGUAAAAGUUUAAAGGUAGAUAAGGGCUUGGGUCACAUCGUGGAUGGCCUUGACUACCAGGAGAUUUUAACUCAUUUCCCAGGUAAGGAGAAACCAUUUAAGGUUUUUACAAAGGAGUAACAUAAUUGGAGUUGCAUUUUAGGACUGGUCUCUUUCAGGAAUAUGCUCUUUCUCACAAAUAUUUGCAUGACAUACUCUCUCUUCUACUUCAGGCCUUUACACAAAUAUCACCUUCUUUGUGAAGCCUCCUGAUCUCCAGUAUACAAUUAUAACCCUAUCCCAGUGCUCCCUGUCGUCUUUCAUGACUUUAUUUAAUAGCACUUAUUUCAGCCUAAUAUACAUGUUUCACCAAUUUAUUUUUAUUGUUCUCUUUCUUCCUACUUGAACAAUAGAGGAGAAUUAUGUCUGUUUUAUUAACUGCUGUAUCUACAGCACUUAGAACAAUGCCUGGCAUGUUGUUAGUUGUCAAUAAGUAUUUCUUGAAGAAAGGACUGAAUAUGGCAAGGAUGUAAAAUAGACAUUAACCUGUAGAGACUGAAGUAAAGCAGAUCAAUUAAGGAGCUCCUGCUGGGAUCAAAAUAAGAGGUGAGUAUAGCCAAUAUAGAAAAUGUAUGGAGAUUCCUCAAAACACUAAAAAGAGAACGACCAUCAAUCCCAUUACUAGGUAUAUAUCCAAAGGAAAUGAAAUCAUUACGUCAAGGAGAUAUUUGUACUCCCAUGUUUACUACAGCACUAUUCAUAACAGCCAAGAUAUGGAAUCAACCCAAGUGUCCAUCAGCAGAUGAAUGGAUAAAGAAAAUGUGGUACAUAUACAUAGUGGAAUACUGUUCAGCCAUAUAAAAU